UGUGAGAUUGAGACUUAAUCUCAUUGGCGUUGUGGUCGGUUUCUCCUACAGCAAGUGCAUCUUGGUCUUGCGGGUCCAUGGCUUGAAGAUUUAAAGGAUGAUUACUGGAAUGGUAAAGCAGAGAGCUUGGACGAAGAAGGAGAAGAAGAAAAAGAAAGACGGUUUGGCAGAGAGAAGCAGAAAAAAUUGACGAAAAUGGGAGGUGGGUAUCAACACAAACACGAAAUUAUUAUAUAUAUACAAUAUGCAUAGGCAUACAUGAAUUAUUAACAUUUUAUACUUCAG
This 285-nucleotide unclassified non-coding RNA is filed under the name Hevea brasiliensis (rubber tree). The record is from RNAcentral. Lineage: Eukaryota; Viridiplantae; Streptophyta; Magnoliopsida; Malpighiales; Euphorbiaceae.